This 404-nucleotide ribosomal RNA is filed under the name uncultured bacterium. Its description in RNAcentral is "partial 16S ribosomal RNA". It matches the Rfam family "Bacterial small subunit ribosomal RNA", at positions 355 to 776 of the family's 1533-position model. RNAcentral also lists the same sequence under 1 other name. The record is from RNAcentral.
UGGGGAAUCUUAGACAAUGGGGGAAACCCUGAUCUAGCCAUGCCGCGUGAGUGACGAAGGCCUUAGGGUCGUAAAGCUCUUUCGCUGGGGAAGAUAAUGACGGUACCCAGUAAAGAAACCCCGGCUAACUCCGUGCCAGCAGCCGCGGUAAUACGGAGGGGGUUAGCGUUGUUCGGAAUUACUGGGCGUAAAGCGCACGUAGGCGGGCUGUUAAGUCGGGGGUGAAAUCCCGGGGCUCAACCCCGGAACUGCCUUCGAUACUGGCAGCCUUGAGUUCGAGAGAGGUGAGUGGAAUUCCGAGUGUAGAGGUGAAAUUCGUAGAUAUUCGGAGGAACACCAGUGGCGAAGGCGGCUCACUGGCUCGAUACUGACGCUGAGGUGCGAAAGCGUGGGGAGCAAACAGG